AGCUAAUAACAUUGUAAAAACCCCAAAACAGAUGGGGCUAAUCCUGCAAAUGAAAUCAACUUCAAUGUUAUAUUUCUAUUUUUAAUUUUAUUUUCAUGUCUAUCAGAGAUAGCAUUUUUCACAAUGCAGUUACUCAUCUUAGGUUGGAGUUUGGAUGAUGAGAUGAGUAAAAUGUUUACAGGUCUUCACUGAAUCAGGUUCUUGGAAUGAAACAUAUGUGUCUAUUCUGUUUUAUUUUUUUAAAAUAAUAUGUUUAAUUAUAAUAUUUAUGAUCUAGCAAAUCUGACGCAGAAAUAAAAUUCCCUGUGGAGACAAGUAUUGCAAAGAUAGUGUUCAGCAGGAGCAGCAGUUAAGAACAGAACCACAGUUUUAGAUGCAGAAUAAAGUAGAAAUGUGUGUUCAGCUGGAAUUUUUUGAAGUCUGUCAAACAUUUUUCAAAUACCUACCAGCCGGACAGUCUUGUUCUUCUAAUGCAAAGUCCAGUUUUCCUGACUCUGCUCACCAUUCCAACCCUUGGAUUUUCAGGAUAUGAGGCAAUUUUCAACUGGAUGCAGACAGGGUAGCACUGAUUUUCUGCUACAGUAUUCUAUUUCAACAUGGAAAAUCAUCACACAGGAGGAAGCCUGUUCUGUGGUGGAAUUGCUUGGAGGAAGAACUUUCUGGUGGAGCACAGUAGUAACAUCAGUGAUUAAAACAAAACCGAUGUUAAAAGAGGAAGAUGAGUAAGGCUGCCAAGUGAAAUACUAGUGCAUGAAAUAAAGCUGAAUUAAUUAUAUUACAUGUACAUUAUAAUUUGAUUUUUGAUUAUGUGAUCACAUAUCUUUUUAAGAGGAUCAUCGCCUGAUUCAAUGCGUCUGAUAGGCUGCACUCACGUAACGUACUAAACAAUGUUCAGCCACAUUCUCCUUGUUCAGUGUGUGGCCAGAUGCCUUAUUUACUGCAAUCCUUUCUAAAAUUAGAAUUAUUAAUUUCCUCACAGGCCUUGAUGUGUUUUGUGUUGUGCUUGUG
RNAcentral lists this long non-coding RNA (1008 nucleotides) under Melopsittacus undulatus (budgerigar). Its description in RNAcentral is "lncRNA (ENSMUNG00000012654.2)". The record is from RNAcentral. Lineage: Eukaryota; Metazoa; Chordata; Aves; Psittaciformes; Psittaculidae.